RNAcentral lists this long non-coding RNA (1807 nucleotides) under Oryctolagus cuniculus (rabbit). RNAcentral's name for it is "lncRNA (ENSOCUG00000038920.1)". Lineage: Eukaryota; Metazoa; Chordata; Mammalia; Lagomorpha; Leporidae. The record is from RNAcentral.
AUGCCACUGGGAGAACUCCCGGCGGCCCGGCCCGGAGAGCAAGGGCCUCAGGGCAGUGCUGGCUGCCGCAGCCACAUCUGUGGGGAGCACCUGUCCCUCCCCACCUGCCUCCUCCCUCCCCCACCCAGCCUGCCACGGCUCCCUAACCCUGACCUGCAGGGCAGACAGAGCCCCAGGCAGCAGCCCCCGGGUCAGGACAGACGGGGAGGCCAGGGCCACCUUUCCCCUCCCGGGAACAGCGCGACACCCCACGCACACAGCCAGUUUCCUGGGGUCCAGGGAAGUCCCUGCUUCUGCUUCAGGGCCCCGCCCGGGAAGGGGCAAGUGGGUGCAGCCAGGUCCUCGGGCUGCUUCGAGUCACAGCAGGCAGGGAAGGGCUCAGUGAGAGACAGCCAGGCCGUGCAGCCCCGGGGAGCGCGGCGAGGGCUGAGCCUGUCCAUCACCGGUCCCUCGGGGUCACCUGCCACUCCGUCCUGUGGCCCGGGCCACAGCAGUCGCACACCUCACUUCAGUAACCACUCACACGUCUGCCUGAGCCAGCUCCUGGCUACUCCUCCGCUGGCGCACCCUCCUCGCCACGCCAACCAGCGCCAGGAGCCGACCCGAGGUACUGGGGAGGUCCAUGUCACUUCUCAGUUGCGCGUUGCCACAGCUCUCGGCUGGCACACUGACAGGCACACAGAGAACGGCACAGAACAGCCCAAGUGCAGGCCCUCGGUACCAGGCGGCUCUGCGGGCAGCCAGCCCGGGGUGUGUCUGGCAGCACCGGGACCUGCGGCUGGCGCGGUGGCCGAUGGGCAAGACUGAGAAGCAGGCACAGCAGUGGCUGCCGGGGGCUUCGGGUGGGGGAGGGAAGACAAGGAAGACGACUUCCCCCAGGGUGCUCAGGGCUCCCCCAGACUCUGGGCAGAGUCGCCCCCAAACAGUGAGGCGUGCGUGGAGAUUAAGCCAGCUCUUAACUCUGACAGGUCGCUCAAGUUCAGGGACAAGGCUAGUUUGCCAGCAAUGCCUCUUCACUCUUUAAUUAAAAUCUUUUAUUAACUGCCAAGCCAAUGCCUUCCCAGGGACAGACAUGCUAAUGAGGGCACUGGCACCUGUCCUGACAGGCAGCCGUCCAGGGAGUCUGGGGUGCUCUCGGGAGAGGGGACCAGGCCCCGCAGGUACCUGUCCCUGGUUCUGCGGGACAGGCCAUCUGUCCGAAGGUCCCUGCCGCCCCCAGCCAACCCCCUGCAGGCCUGCACAACAUAUCAUGGGGGCCGCGAUGCCCUCCAGCUGGAUGGGCAGGGCUCUGGCCCGGGGGGGCUCCAGCUUGGUCUCUCUGUCCCUGUCAGCUCAGCGAGGCCACGGGAUGCCCACAGGAGCCACACCUGUGCCCCAGGGGUCAUUAGCACCCACAGGGAGCAGGCCCCGCCCAGGCCCAGCCCCUCCGGCCACUGGGGGCAGCUCUGGUGAGCCUGCCUCAGCCCAGGUGGCCAAGGACACCAGCCUGUGACUGCUCACGUGGACAGCAUGCAGCCUGCAUGCGACCAACGACACGGCCCUUGACCCGGGACCCCAGCCUGGCCAUGAGGAAGAGCUGGGCAGGGCCCACCGGGAGGCUUCCUCCUGACCAGCACCCCACGGUCAAGCUCACCACGGCCUGGGCCUGGGACACUGUGCAGCCCAGCAGGGCCUCGAGACAACCACAGCCACGUGGGGUCCCAGCACGGGCAGGCGAGAGCCAGGGUGCCGGCACUGCUGCCGUGAUGCGUCCCACUGUCAAUCACAGGUGACUCGGAGAUGCCGAGGGAAACAGGCAGAACGCAAU